Molecule: ribosomal RNA, 254 nt
Filed under: uncultured bacterium
Lineage: Bacteria
Description: partial 16S ribosomal RNA
Rfam family: Bacterial small subunit ribosomal RNA
Source: RNAcentral
UACGUAGGUGGCGAGCGUUGUCCGGAUUUAUUGGGCGUAAAGGGCGCGCAGGUGGUGUGGUGGGUCCGUCGUGAAAUCUCCCGGCUCAACUGGGAGGGUGCGCCGAAUACUGAAUGACUUGGAGUGCGGGAGAGGAAAGUGGAAUUCCUGGUGUAGCGGUGAAAUGCGUAGAUAUCAGGAGGAACACCGGUGGUGUAGACGGCUUUCUGGACCGUAACUGACGCUGAGACACGAAAGCGUGGGUAGCAAACAGG